CCCUAAAUCCUAUUCGUAAACGAGUAUUCACUAUCGCCGCUCUCUAGUCUCCGACUCUCACUCUCCGGAGUCUCCGGUCUCCACAGUCACACUCACACAUAUCGCCGCUCUCUAGUCUCCGACCCAUCGUCUGCAACAUAUCACCGCUCCUGUGUUCAUUCUGCAACAGUUCGUCGGACGGUCUUCAAUCUCCAGUCUUCAAUCUGCAACAAGAUGUCUUCUUACAAAGAAUCAAACGAGAAUCCGGCUGCUCAUGUUGAUUCGACUGAUGGAGAGGACGACCCGAAUCCAAUAAUUGAUGAAUCGGGUGAUACCAUUUUAAAGUGUCUUAUAAAAUGGGGUAUCCAAGACAAAAUAGGUACCAUAACUUUAGACAAUGCAUCGAACAAUGAUUGGGCAGCCAACAUUUUGAUGAGUAAUUUUAAGGGAAAGGGGAAGUUACACUUUGAUGGUUUGUUUUUUCAUAUAAGAUGUUGUGCUCACAUCUUAAACUUGGUAGUGCAAGAUGGUUUAGGAACUAUCGAAUCAAGAGUCUUGAGAGAUGCAGGUUCUACUCCCACUUGGUGCAGAGUGAGGCACUAGUGGCAAUGAUAGAAGACCCAGGGAAAUCUGGGUUGGAUCCUUGAGCCAAACGGGUUUUACUGGACAGACCCCGGAAGAUGAAUCUCAGUUCCAAAGAAUGGGUAAUCAGCAAGCAAUGGCAACAGGGCAACCACCUAAUGCAAUGCGUCAGCCAGCUGGCAAGCAGGUCCCUUUUGCACUGCUGCUACCUGUUUUAGAACCACAGCUUGACAAAGACCAGGCUAGGCAACUCCAGGGCCAAUAUGUUCGAUUAAAGAGCAAUGUCAUAAAUAAAGAAGAAUUUGUCCGGCACAUGCGAAGUCUUGUAGGAGAUCGUAUGCUGAAGAUGGCAGUCUAUAAACUACAACAAAGGCAGUCUGCUGGAGACUCUUCAUUGGCAUCUGGAAGUAAUGCAAAGACUUCCCCCGAAAAGCCGACUGUUGGCCAGAAAAAAACGUUAGAAGCACCUGUUUCUUCGCUAAGUAAGAAGCAGAAAGUGUCUGAAGCAUUUUCGGAUCAGCAGCUUAAUGACGUAACUGCUGUCAGCGGAGUGCGUCUCAGGGUAUGUGUUAUUCACUUGCAAAGACACGAGUUUCAGGAAAACUCUUAGUUAUUUCGGUGAAAAUUUGGUCCUCUAGGAAGAAAAAGAUCAAUUGUUUUCUGGGUCCAAAGAGGGUAGCCGAGUUUCAGAAGAUUCUAGAAAGGUUGCUCAAGCACCCCAAAAGAAAUUGGAUGAGAUCAAUGUUUUAACAGCGGCAAAACGUGGUGUAAAGAACCAAAGCAAUGACGUGGAACGAUUCUUGUCACAGCUCGAGAUAGUUCAAGCGGAAUUAGAAAAAGAACAAAAGGCCCGACAAAACAUAGAAGCUCGUUUUGAACAAUUUAAACAAGAGCGGGAACAAGAACGUGCAGAACGUGAACGACAGCGAGAACAAGAACGAGUCGAACGAGAGCGGGCUGAACAAGCGGAAUGGCAUAAAAACAUGGAAGAAAUGUUGAAAAACUUUCUAAAACAAGAGCGGGCCGAACAAGCGGAACGGCAUAAAAACAUGGAAGAAAUGUUGAAAAAGUUUCUAAAACGAGAGCGGGCCGAACAAACGGAACGGCAUAAAAACCUGGAAGAAAUGUUGAGAAAGUUUCUAAAUAAGUAAAAAAAAAAAAGCUUAGAUUUGUAAGUUUUGUAAUAAAAAAACUGCCA
RNA transcript from Helianthus annuus (common sunflower), 1759 nucleotides. It is a transcript of the gene named transcription initiation factor TFIID subunit 4b, with no coding region annotated. The record is from RefSeq and is a predicted model, not a curated record. Lineage: Eukaryota; Viridiplantae; Streptophyta; Magnoliopsida; Asterales; Asteraceae. The transcript is spliced from 8 exons.